This 492-nucleotide ribosomal RNA is filed under the name uncultured bacterium. Its description in RNAcentral is "partial 16S ribosomal RNA". It matches the Rfam family "Bacterial small subunit ribosomal RNA", at positions 29 to 507 of the family's 1533-position model. The record is from RNAcentral.
AGUGAACGCUGGCGGUAGGCCUAACACAUGCAAGUCGAACGGCACCACAGUAAGAGCUUGCUCUUACGGGUGGCGAGUGACGGACGGGUGCGGAAUACAUCGGAAUCUACUUUUUCGUGGGGGGUAACGUAGGGAAACUUACGCCAAUACCGCAUACGACCUACGGGUUUAAGCAGCAGAUCUUCGGACCUUGCGCGAUUGACUGAGCCGAUGUCGGAUUAGCUAGUUGGCGGGGUAAAGGCCCACCAAGGCGACGAUCCGUAGCUGGUCUGAGAGGAUGAUCAGCCACACUGGAACUGAGACACGGUCCAGACUCCUACGGGAGGCAGCAGUGGGGAAUAUUCGACAAUGGGCGCAAGCCUGAUCCAGCCAUACCGCGUGGGUGAAGAAGGCUUUCGGGUUGUAAAGCCCUUUUGUUGGGGAAGAAAAGCAGCAGGUUAAUACCCCGCUGUUCUGACGGUACCUAAAGAAUAAGCACCGGCUAACUUCGUG